RNAcentral lists this transfer RNA (85 nucleotides) under Treponema sp. CETP13. RNAcentral's name for it is "tRNA-Tyr". It matches the Rfam family "tRNA". From Rfam's summary of the family: Transfer RNA (tRNA) molecules are approximately 80 nucleotides in length. Their secondary structure includes four short double-helical elements and three loops (D, anti-codon, and T loops). Further hydrogen bonds mediate the characteristic L-shaped molecular structure. tRNAs have two regions of fundamental functional importance: the anti-codon, which is responsible for specific mRNA codon recognition, and the 3' end, to which the tRNAs corresponding amino acid is attached (by aminoacyl-tRNA synthetases). tRNAs cope with the degeneracy of the genetic code in two manners: having more than one tRNA (with a specific anti-codon) for a particular amino acid; and 'wobble' base-pairing, i.e. permitting non-standard base-pairing at the 3rd anti-codon position. The record is from RNAcentral. Lineage: Bacteria; Pseudomonadati; Spirochaetota; Spirochaetia; Treponematales; Treponemataceae.
GGGGAGUUUCCUGAGUGGUCAAAGGGGACAGACUGUAAAUCUGCUGGCUCCGCCUUCGUAGGUUCGAAUCCUACACUCCCCACUA